CAUUGUGACUGUUGGAAACGGUAUGCAGAGCUCCUCCUUCAGCUUUGAAACUUCACUCACAUAUUUGAUGAAUGAGCCGAAUCUGACCCUGUGUUUUAUUUCCAUAUAGAUCCUUUAACAACACAGACUCCUGAAACAACCACUGCACCGAUUACUACACCACCAGUUAAUGCAACCGCUGCACCAAAUGCCACUGCAUCCUUCACAACUACACCACCAGUUAAUGCAACCGCUGCACCAAAUGCAACUGCAUCCUUCAUAACUACACCACCAGUUAAUGCAACCGCUGCACAAAAUGCAACUGCAUCCUUCAUAACUACACCACCAGUUAAUGCAACUGCCGCACAAAAUGCAACUGCAUCCUUCAUAACUACACCACCAGUUAAUGCAACCGCUGCACCAAAUGCCACUGCAUCCUUCACAACUACACCACCAGUUAAUGCAACCGCUGCAUCAAAUGCAACUGCAUCCUUCAUAACUACACCACCAGUUAAUGCAACCGCUGCACAAAAUGCAACUGCAUCCUUCAUAACUACACCACCAGUUAAUGCAACUGCCGCACAAAAUGCAACUGCAUCCUUCAUAACUACACCACUUGUUAAUGCAACCGAUGCACAAAAUACGACUGCAUCCUUCAUAACUACACCACUAGUUAAUGCAACUUUUGCACCAAAUGCAACUGCAUCCUUCACAACUACACCACCAGUUAAUGCAACCGCUGCACAAAAUGCAACUGCAUCCUUCAUAACUACGCCACCAGUUAAUGCAACCGCUGUACAAAAUGCAACUGCUUCCUUCAUAACUACACCACCAGUUAAUGCAACCGCUGCACCAAAUGCAACUGCACCCUUCACAACUACACCACCAGUUAAUGCAACCGCUGUACAAAAUGCAACUGCUUCCUUCAUAACUACACCACCAGUUAAUGCAACCGCUGCACCAAAUGCAACUGCACCCUUCACAACUACACCACCAGUUAAUGCAACCGCUGCACAAAAUGCAACUGCUUCCUUCACAGCUACACCACCAGUUAAUGCAACCGCUGUACAAAAUGCAACUGCUUCCUUCAUAACUACACCACCAGUUAAUGCAACCGCUGCACCAAAUGCAACUGCUUCCUUCAUAACUACACCACCAGUUAAUGCAACCGCUGCACCAAAUGUAACUGCUUCCUUCAUAACUACACCACCAGUUAAUGCAACCGCUGCACCAAAUGCAACUGCACCCUUCACAACUACACCACCAGUUAAUGCAACGGCUGCACAAAAUGCAACUGCAUCCUUCGUAAUUACACCACCAGUUAAUGCAACCGCUGCACAAAAUGCAACUGCUUCCUUCAUAACUACACCACCAGUUAAUACAACCGCUGCACCAAAUGCAACUGCUUCCUUCAUAACUACACCACCAGUUAAUACAACCGCUGCACCAAAUGCAACUGCUUCCUUCAUAACUACACCACCUCCUGCAGCAACAAUAAAUGCAACUACUGCACAAACUGCACCAAUCAUGUCAACAUUCUUAAUGAACAUGACUCCAACAAGCAUUACAACAACAACGAGGAGGACACAUACAACCCCACCUGCAACACAAAUCUUGACCUCUACUCCCUCCACUACUUCCUCCACAACCACCAUUCCUUCAACAAUAUCACCUGAUACAACCCCAGCACCUACAUCAACAACUCCACUUGAAAGUGUUUAUGUUUUGGGGGUAACCAUGACGGUUUCAGCGUCUUCUAACCUCACUGAAGAUGACUUCAACAAUAUUGUCCAACA
Molecule: long non-coding RNA, 1775 nt
Organism: Sphaeramia orbicularis (orbiculate cardinalfish)
Lineage: Eukaryota; Metazoa; Chordata; Actinopteri; Kurtiformes; Apogonidae
Source: Ensembl